GUGCGAGGGCAUACAGUCCUCGCUUUUCUGUACCGUAAGGUGGUACAGGAACAAGAACUGGGCAAGACCGGUGCCAGCCGCCGCGGUAAUACCGGCAGUUCGAGUGAUGGCCGCUCUUAUUGGGCCUAAAGCGUUCGUAGCCGGCCACGCAAGUUCGUCGGGAAAUCUGCCCGCUUAACGGGCAGGCGUCCGGCGAAAACUGCGUGGCUUGGGACCGGGAGACUCGAGGAGUACGUUCGGGGUAGGAGUGAAAUCCCAUAAUCCUGAACGGACUACCGAUGGCGAAAGCACCUCGAGAGCACGGAUCCGACGGUGAGGAACGAAAGCUGGGGUCUCGAACCGGAUUAGAUACCCGGGUAGUCCCAGCUGUUAACGAUGCUCGCUAGGUAUGGCACAGGCCACGAGCCUGUGCUGUGCCGAAGUGAAGACGCAAGCGAGCCGCCUGGGAAGUACGUCUGCAAGGAUGAAACUUAAAGGAAUUGGCGGGGGAGCACUACAACCGGAGGAGCCUGCGGUUUAAUUGGACUCAACGCCGGACAUCUCACCAGCACCGACAAUGUGCAGUGAAGAUCAGGUUGAUGACCUUAUUGGAGCCAUUGAGAGGAGGUGCAUGGCCGCCGUCAGCUCGUACCGUGAGGCAUCCUGUUAAGUCAGGCAACGAGCGAGACCCGUGUUCCUAAUUGCCAGCAGCAACCAUGCGUUGGCUGGGUACAUUAGGAAGACCGCCACGGCUAACGUGGAGGAAGGAACGGGCAACGGUAGGUCAGCAUGCCCCGAAUGUGCUGGGCAACACGCGGGCUACAAUGGCCGAGACAAAGGGUUGCUACCCCGAGAGGGGACGCUAAUCUCCGAAACUCGGUCGUAGUUCGGAUUGCGGGCUGAAACCCGCCCGCAUGAAGCUGGAUUCGGUAGUAGUCGCGUGUCAUUAGCGCGCGGCGAAUACGUCCCUGCUCCUUGCACACACCGCCCGUCAAAGCACCCGAGUGAGGUCCGGAUGAGGCCACCAUGCGGUGGUCGAAUCUGGGCUUCGCAAGGGGGCUUAAGUCGUAACAAGGUAGGCCUAGGGGAAUCUGGGCCUGGAUCACCUCCUA
RNAcentral lists this ribosomal RNA (1091 nucleotides) under Halorientalis pallida. RNAcentral describes it as "bacterial SSU rRNA". It matches the Rfam family "Archaeal small subunit ribosomal RNA", at positions 385 to 1478 of the family's 1478-position model. Lineage: Archaea; Methanobacteriati; Methanobacteriota; Halobacteria; Halobacteriales; Haloarculaceae. The record is from RNAcentral.